CUGACACAGGGAGGUAGUGACAAAAAAUAACUUAGUCGGGCCGUUUUCGGUCUGACUUUAGGAAUGAGAACAAUUUAAAUCCCUUAUCGAGGAUCAAUUGGAGGGCAAGUCUGGUGCCAGCAGCCGCGGUAAUUCCAGCUCCAAUAGCGUAUAUUAAUGUUGUUGCAGUUAAAAAGCUCGUAGUUGGAUUUCUGGAUUGAGCGGCUGGCCUUGCGCGCAAGCGUUCGUGUCGGCUUCGUUUCGGUCCAUCCUCAGGGGGACUUGCGCUGGCAUUAACGUGUCGGUGUUGGGACGCCUGUCGUUUACUGUGAACAAAUUAGAGUGUUCAAAGCAAGGUGUACUUGAAUACAUUAGCAUGGAAUAAUAAGAUAGGACUUUGGUGGUUCUUUUUGAUAUUUUGUUGGUUUGCACGCCAAAGUAAUGAUUAAUAGGAGCAGUUGGGGGUAUUCGUAUUCAAUUGUCAGAGGUGAAAUUCUUGGAUUUAUAGAAGACGAACUACUGCGAAAGCAUUUACCAA
This 517-nucleotide ribosomal RNA is filed under the name uncultured dictyochophyte. RNAcentral's name for it is "SSU rRNA". It matches the Rfam family "Eukaryotic small subunit ribosomal RNA", at positions 451 to 961 of the family's 1831-position model. Lineage: Eukaryota; Dictyochophyceae. The record is from RNAcentral.